UACGGGGGGGGCAAGCGUUGUUCGGAAUUACUGGGCGUAAAGGGCUCGUAGGCGGCCAACUAAGUCAGACGUGAAAUCCCCAGGCUCAACCUGGGAACUGCGUCUGAUACUGGAUGGCUUGAAUCCGGGAGAGGGAUGCAGAAUUCCAGGUGUAGCGGUGAAAUGCGUAGAUAUCUGGAGGAAUACCGGUGGCGAAGGCGGCAUCCUGGACCGGCAUUGACGCUGAGGAGCGAAAGCUAGGGGAGUAAACGGG
RNAcentral lists this ribosomal RNA (253 nucleotides) under uncultured bacterium. Its description in RNAcentral is "partial 16S ribosomal RNA". It matches the Rfam family "Bacterial small subunit ribosomal RNA", at positions 524 to 776 of the family's 1533-position model. The record is from RNAcentral.